Long non-coding RNA from Rhineura floridana, 150 nucleotides. RefSeq lists it as uncharacterized. The record is from RefSeq and is a predicted model, not a curated record. Lineage: Eukaryota; Metazoa; Chordata; Lepidosauria; Squamata; Rhineuridae. The transcript is spliced from 2 exons.
UAUGUCAGAAUCAUACAUAGGUUCUGAACAUGCUCAGAGCUGAGAUGGUAAAACGCUGGACGUAGUAGAGAGUUCAUGAAUUGAAUUUGCCAUGACUGCAAAAGAAUAUCUGAAAACUAAAUCGAGGAUUGAAUAAAAGCUUGAACUAAA